UCUAAGGAGUAUUGAUUUUCUUACACUAUUUAUUAUUUUUCUUUAGUGAAAAGAACAUUAUAGCUUUUAUUUCAAACCGUCAAAUAUUUUUAUUACGGGGGUGUAGCUCAGUUGGGAGAGCACCUGCCUUGCAAGCAGGGGGUCAGGAGUUCGAAUCUCCUCAUCUCCACCAUACUCUACAUCUUAUGAUUAGAGUUCCCGAAAGGGAAAGGACCAAAAAAACUGAAAACUGAAAAGAAAACAAGAACACUGGAAAAAGAACAAAGGUCAAGAAAAAGAAGAGCACUAAGAGGAUGCCUAGGCACCAAGAGGCGAAGAAGGACGUGACAAGCUGCGAAAAGCGACGGGUAGGAGCAAAUAUCCCGUGAACCGUCGAUAU
RNAcentral lists this unclassified non-coding RNA (379 nucleotides) under uncultured Thermoanaerobacteraceae bacterium. RNAcentral's name for it is "partial 16S-23S ribosomal RNA intergenic spacer". The stretch from base 266 to 379 matches the Rfam family "Bacterial large subunit ribosomal RNA", at positions 1 to 113 of the family's 2925-position model. The record is from RNAcentral. Lineage: Bacteria; Bacillati; Bacillota; Clostridia; Thermoanaerobacterales; Thermoanaerobacteraceae.